Molecule: ribosomal RNA, 460 nt
Filed under: uncultured bacterium
Lineage: Bacteria
Description: partial 16S ribosomal RNA
Rfam family: Bacterial small subunit ribosomal RNA
Source: RNAcentral
CCUACGGGAGACAGCAGUGAGGAAUAUUGGUCAAUGGGCGUAAGCCUGAACCAGCCAAGUCGCGUGAAGGAUGACGGUUCUAUGGAUCGUAAACCUCUUUUAUAAGGGAAUAAAGUGUGGGACGUGUCCUUUUUUGUAUGUACCUUAUGAAUAAGGAUCGGCUAACUCCGUGCCAGCAGCCGCGGUAAUACGGAGGAUCCGAGCGUUAUCCGGAUUUAUUGGGUUUAAAGGGUGCGUAGGCGGCUUGUUAAGUCAGCGGUGAAAGUCUGUGGCUCAACCGUAGAAUUGCCGUUGAAACUGGCGGGCUUGAGUAUGUUUGAGGCAGGCGGAAUGCGUGGUGUAGCGGUGAAAUGCUUAGAUAUCACGCAGAACCCCGAUUGCGAAGGCAGCUUGCCAAGCUAUGACUGACGCUGAUGCACGAAAGCGUGGGGAUCAAACAGGAUUAGAUACCCUGGUAGUC